Pelobates cultripes (western spadefoot toad) is the source of this 1869-nucleotide non-coding RNA. The record is from the annotation of a GenBank genome assembly. Lineage: Eukaryota; Metazoa; Chordata; Amphibia; Anura; Pelobatidae.
CAAAGUUUACUCAAUGAUGAGUCCGCUGCGAACCGUUCAUGGCGAACCGUUCACGAACCGUUGGGCGAACAGUUCGGGACAUCACUAAUAGUAAACAAACUAAAAUAAUUAUUCAGCGUGCCAGAAACAGAUAAAAAUUACAAGACACUUGAACCUUUAGCUCUGGAAAAAGUUUUCCUGCACAAUCCAGGAAGUAAAGGUAUUAUUUCUAUGUGUUACUCUGUCUAUAAUGCUAAACCCUCAGAUAAGAUGAGACAUAUGUUGUCAUGGGAGACGGAACUGGGUACACAAUACUGUUUGAAAAAAUGGUUUGAUUUUUUUACUACCCUUAAGGGAAUUUCUUCAUUUUGAAAACCACUAUAAGAUUUUAUAUCGGUGGUACCUGGUUCUGUCUCGACUGCACAACAUAAACGAUAAGUACUCAGACCGAUGUUGGAGAGAUUGCAGAGGUAGAUUACAUGGUGGUUUUGUACAAAACUAGCCGGAUAUUGGAAGAGGAUCCAUGAUCUGAUUAUUCAAGUAGACAAAGACAUAAGUAUAUUGACAUCAGAACUAGCAUUAUUUAAGAAAUUCCCGGAGUCUGCUUCCAAAAUUGACAAAAUAAUAAUAGGCCACAUUUUAAUUGCAGCUACCACAUGCCUACCUCGAUACUGGAAGUCUAAGAAAUUACCUACGUGUAAAGAAGUAUUAACCAUGGUUCUGGACAGCAAAGCAAACGAACUGUCUUACAGAAAGAAUACAAAUUUAUUUGCAAAACUUCAACAUAUUUGAGACAAAUGGGAAGAGGACAUUAAAAAACCCACCGUAUAUAAAAUCUGAGUUUUGUCAAGUUCAGAAAUACAUGACCAAUGUUUUGUAUAUUAUUUCUUAUGUUUACCAAUUGGUAUGGACUACCUUACCCAUUUCCAAGUUUCCCUUCCCUUCCCCCUCGUCGAAUAGUAUGUUUGACUAUUCGCUAUUAUUUGUUUGAAAUAAACUAUAACUUCAAUAAAAACUAUUUGAAAAGAACUAUAAGGAUAUGGCAUUCUCUUCCUGAAGAGGUGGUUUUUAUCAGAGUUAUCAGAGAUGUUUAAACAGCAAUUGGAUAGAUAAUUCCAAAAACAUAACACACAGGGAUAUAAUUUCUAAUUAGUGGGGUAAUAGCUGCUUGAUCCAAGGAGACAUCUGACUGCCAUUUUGGGGUCAAGAAAGAUUUGGAAGCGCUUCAGACUGGGUUUUUUGCCUUCUUUUGGAUCAACAGCAAAAACAUAUGUGAGGAAGGCUGAACUUGAUGGAUGCAAGUCUUUUUCAGCUAUGUAACUAUGUAACUCAUGGAAACACAGACUGACACUAAACCAUUCACACAUUCACAGACACAGAAACUGACACACAUUCACUGACCCAUACAUGUUGACAUUUGUAUACUGAAACACACACAAUGCCAGCACAUACAUAUUUUGAGGAGAAGGGGAUAUCAACUGUCUUUUUACUCCUCCAGAGUUUGAGAGGCUAGAAGCAUGCAAAAGGAGACGGAAGAAGUCUGAAUUAAUAUGCAUUAUGUGCUCCAUCAACAAGAACAGCUAUAGAGCAUUAUCAGAGACAAACUCUCUUCCAAUGCUCCAACACACCCAGCACCCUGAGACAGCUACCCUCCCUCCCUCCCUUGACUCCCCCCGCUCCUUUGCUACACCUCUGUUUCCAUCUGAUUUUAAUCUGAUCUAAGAACUGUCAAUAACAUUUUUCUAGUAGGUUCCUCCUGGGACAUUCUAUUUCAGAUACUUUAUUGUCAUAUAAAGCAGGGAUAUCCUGCAGGAUAAAUGCAAGACUGCACAUGAUGCUUUACUCUUGGGUAAUUCUUUUCCAUGGAGCAGGUUUUCGCAUACAUUCUCC